AUGGAUGGACCUUGCAAAUUCCACAGCGGCGCGAAGUCGUCGAAUCACACCACCCGGAAGUGCCACUGGCUCACCAGGAUUGCCAAGGGAGACGGCCUCCUAGCUCCCCCGCCGGCUGGGCAGCCGCCUCCGCCUCCGCCCCAGCAGCUGGCUGCCAGGCCAGUUGGCGCAGUGCAAGACGAAUACCCUGAAGAACACGGAGCCUACGUGGUGUUUACCAAUAUGGCUGAUGAUCGACGUAGCAGGCGGCUGCAACGACAAGAGGUGAAUGCAGUAGCGUUGGAAACGCCAGAGUUCAUGCACUGGUCCGAAAAGCCCAUCAACUGGAGCAGGGCUGACCAUCCAGAGGUGAUGCCGAGUCCGGGCUCCUAUGCCUUGGUCUUGGACGCCACCUUUGCCACGGAUAGACGAGCUGCGCGUUUCUCGCGAGUCCUAAUAGACGGAGGCAGCAUCAUCAAUAUCCUAUACAAGGAUGCCAUGGAGAAGUUAGGAAUCAUGCAAAGACAGCUUCAGAACAGCCGGACAGUGUUUCAAGGCAUUGUACCUGGGCUUUCCUGCUCGCCGAUCGGCAAGAUCCUGAUGGACGUCCUCUUUGGGGACAAAGAUCACUUCGGAAGAGAGUCUGUUUGGUUUGAGGUGGUGGACCUUGAGAGCCUAUACCAUGCUACUUGGCCGACCCGCCUUGGCCAAGUUCAUGGCGGUCCCCCACUACGCUUACCUCAAGAUGAAGAUGCCCAGUUCCAGGGGAAUUCUGACUUUGGCUGGCGACUACCGGAAGUCGUCUGCUUGGGCGGUUGA
RNAcentral lists this ribosomal RNA (798 nucleotides) under Triticum aestivum (bread wheat). Its description in RNAcentral is "partial small subunit ribosomal RNA". The record is from RNAcentral. Lineage: Eukaryota; Viridiplantae; Streptophyta; Magnoliopsida; Poales; Poaceae.